GACGGGAGGAUGCAAGUGUUAUCCGGAAUCACUGGGCGUAAAGCGUCUGUAGGUCGUUUAAAAAGUCUACUGUUAAAAAUUGAAGCUUAACUUCAAAGGUGCCGUCGAAACUUUUAAACUUGAGUAUGGUAGGGGUAGAGGGAAUUUCCAGUGGAGCGGUGAAAUGCGUAGAUAUUGGAAAGACCACCAAUGGCGAAGGCACUCUACUGGGCCAUUACUGACACUGAGAGACGAAAGCUAGGGGAGCAAAUGGG
Molecule: ribosomal RNA, 254 nt
Filed under: uncultured bacterium
Lineage: Bacteria
Description: partial 16S ribosomal RNA
Rfam family: Bacterial small subunit ribosomal RNA
Source: RNAcentral